UCUAGGCGUGUUGGUGCACACCUGUAAUCCCAGCAGCUCAGGAGGCUGAGACAGGAGGAUCGCGAGUUCAAAGCCAGCCUCGGCCACUUAGCGAGGCCCUAAGCAACUCAGUGAGACCCUGUCUCUA
This 127-nucleotide small RNA is filed under the name Marmota monax (woodchuck). The record is from RNAcentral. Lineage: Eukaryota; Metazoa; Chordata; Mammalia; Rodentia; Sciuridae.